GUGCUUGCUUCAGCAGCACAUAUACUAAAAUUGGAAUGAUACAGAGAAGAUUAGCAUGGCCCCUGUGCAAAUUCAUGAAGCAUUCCAUAUUUUU
Fukomys damarensis (Damara mole-rat) is the source of this 94-nucleotide small nuclear RNA. The record is from Ensembl. Lineage: Eukaryota; Metazoa; Chordata; Mammalia; Rodentia; Bathyergidae.